GUGGGGAAUUUUGGACAAUGGGCGCAAGCCUGAUCCAGCAAUGCCGCGUGCAGGAAGAAGGCCUUCGGGUUGUAAACUGCUUUUGUACGGAACGAAACGGUCCUGGUUAAUACCUGGGGCUAAUGACGGUACCGUAAGAAUAAGCACCGGCUAACUACGUGCCAGCAGCCGCGGUAAUACGUAGGGUGCGAGCGUUAAUCGGAAUUACUGGGCGUAAAGCGUGCGCAGGCGGUUUUGUAAGACAGGCGUGAAAUCCCCGGGCUUAACCUGGGAAUUGCGCUUGUGACUGCAAGGCUGGAGUGCGGCAGAGGGGGAUGGAAUUCCGCGUGUAGCAGUGAAAUGCGUAGAUAUGCGGAGGAACACCGAUGGCGAAGGCAAUCCCCUGGGCCUGCACUGACGCUCAUGCACGAAAGCGUGGGGAGCAAACAGGAUUAGAUACCCCGGUAGUCC
RNAcentral lists this ribosomal RNA (450 nucleotides) under uncultured bacterium. Its description in RNAcentral is "partial 16S ribosomal RNA". It matches the Rfam family "Bacterial small subunit ribosomal RNA", at positions 354 to 796 of the family's 1533-position model. The record is from RNAcentral.